This 460-nucleotide ribosomal RNA is filed under the name uncultured bacterium. RNAcentral's name for it is "partial 16S ribosomal RNA". It matches the Rfam family "Bacterial small subunit ribosomal RNA", at positions 338 to 795 of the family's 1533-position model. The record is from RNAcentral.
CCUACGGGAGGCAGCAGUGAGGAAUAUUGGUCAAUGGGCGGGAGCCUGAACCAGCCAAGUCGCGUGAGGGAAGACGGUCCUAUGGAUUGUAAACCUCUUUAGGCGGGGAGCAAUGCCGGGCACGUGUGCCCGGAGGGAGAGUACCCGCAGAAUAAGCAUCGGCUAACUCCGUGCCAGCAGCCGCGGUAAUACGGAGGAUGCGAGCGUUAUCCGGAGUUAUUGGGUUUAAAGGGUGCGUAGGCGGAUUUUUAAGUCAGCGGUAAAAUGUCCGGGCUCAACCCGGGCCGGCCGUUGAAACUGGGGAUCUUGAGUGGGAGAGAAGCAUGCGGAUGGCGUGGUGUAGCGGUGAAAUGCAUAGAUAGCACGAAGAACUCCGAUGGGGAAGGCAGCAUCCCGGCGCCCGAAUGACGCUGAGGCACGAAAGCGGGGGGAUCGAACAGGAUUAGAGACCCCAGUAGUC